RNAcentral lists this ribosomal RNA (808 nucleotides) under Campylobacter sp. RNAcentral describes it as "bacterial SSU rRNA". It matches the Rfam family "Bacterial small subunit ribosomal RNA", at positions 636 to 1441 of the family's 1533-position model. The record is from RNAcentral. Lineage: Bacteria; Pseudomonadati; Campylobacterota; Epsilonproteobacteria; Campylobacterales; Campylobacteraceae.
AUAGUCUAGAGUGAGGGAGAGGCAGAUGGAAUUGGUGGUGUAGGGGUAAAAUCCGUAGAUAUCACCAAGAAUACCCAUUGCGAAGGCGAUCUGCUGGAACUCAACUGACGCUAAGGCGCGAAAGCGUGGGGAGCAAACAGGAUUAGAUACCCUGGUAGUCCACGCCCUAAACGAUGUACACUAGUUGUUGGGGUGCUAGUCAUCUCAGUAAUGCAGCUAACGCAUUAAGUGUACCGCCUGGGGAGUACGGUCGCAAGAUUAAAACUCAAAGGAAUAGACGGGGACCCGCACAAGCGGUGGAGCAUGUGGUUUAAUUCGAAGAUACGCGAAGAACCUUACCUGGGCUUGAUAUCCUAAGAACCUUUUAGAGAUAAGAGGGUGCUAGCUUGCUAGAACUUAGAGACAGGUGCUGCACGGCUGUCGUCAGCUCGUGUCGUGAGAUGUUGGGUUAAGUCCCGCAACGAGCGCAACCCACGUAUUUAGUUGCUAACGGUUCGGCCGAGCACUCUAAAUAGACUGCCUUCGUAAGGAGGAGGAAGGUGUGGACGACGUCAAGUCAUCAUGGCCCUUAUGCCCAGGGCGACACACGUGCUACAAUGGCAUAUACAAUGAGACGCAAUACCGCGAGGUGGAGCAAAUCUAUAAAAUAUGUCCCAGUUCGGAUUGUUCUCUGCAACUCGAGAGCAUGAAGCCGGAAUCGCUAGUAAUCGUAGAUCAGCCAUGCUACGGUGAAUACGUUCCCGGGUCUUGUACUCACCGCCCGUCACACCAUGGGAGUUGAUUUCACUCGAAGCCGGAAUACUAAUGU